UACGGAGGGUGCGAGCGUUAAUCGGAAUUACUGGGCGUAAAGCGUGCGCAGGCGGUUUGUUAAGCGAGAUGUGAAAGCCCCGGGCUCAACCUGGGAUGGUCAUUUCGAACUGGCAAGCUAGAGUCUCGUAGAGGGGGGUAGAAUUCCAGGUGUAGCGGUGAAAUGCGUAGAGAUCUGGAGGAAUACCGGUGGCGAAGGCGGCCCCCCUGGACGAAGACUGACGCUCAGGCACGAAAGCGUGGGGAGCAAACAGG
RNAcentral lists this ribosomal RNA (254 nucleotides) under uncultured bacterium. Its description in RNAcentral is "partial 16S ribosomal RNA". It matches the Rfam family "Bacterial small subunit ribosomal RNA", at positions 524 to 776 of the family's 1533-position model. The record is from RNAcentral.